GGCCUGGUAGCUCUGGUGGUGAGAGCGUUUACUACGCCCAAGAAUUUACUUUGCCGUCGUGGGUUCGAAUCCCACUGAGGCCA
Molecule: non-coding RNA, 83 nt
Organism: Schistocephalus solidus
Lineage: Eukaryota; Metazoa; Platyhelminthes; Cestoda; Diphyllobothriidea; Diphyllobothriidae
Source: Rfam